Non-coding RNA from Ceratobasidium sp. 423, 82 nucleotides. Lineage: Eukaryota; Fungi; Basidiomycota; Agaricomycetes; Cantharellales; Ceratobasidiaceae. The record is from the annotation of a GenBank genome assembly.
GGGCGAGUAGUGAAAAGGUCACACACUAUGUUCGCUUUUGAUGCAGCAAUGUCGGUCGGUGGUUCGAAUCCACCCUCGUCCA